CCUACGGGUGGCAGCAGUGAGGAAUAUUGGUCAAUGGACGCAAGUCUGAACCAGCCAUGCCGCGUGCAGGAUGACGGCUCUAUGAGUUGUAAACUGCUUUUGUACGAGGGUAAACUCCGACACGUGUAUCUGCUUGCAAGUAUCGCAUGAAUAAGGACCGGCUAAUUCCGUGCCAGCAGCCGCGGUAAUACGGAGGGUCCGGGCGUUAUUCGGAAUUACUGGGGGUAAAGGGUGCGCAGGCGGUUGAGUAAGAGAGUUGUGAAAUCCCCGAGCUUAACCCGGGAAUGGCAGAUGUGACUGGGCGACUUGAGUGUGUCAGAGGGAGGUGGAAUUCGACGUGUAGCAGUGAAAUGCGUAGAUAUGUGGAAGAACACCGAUGGCGAAGGCAGCCGCCUGGGACAUUACUGACGCUGAGGCACGAAGGCGUGGGGAGCGAACAGGAUUAGAUACCCGAGUAGUC
Molecule: ribosomal RNA, 460 nt
Filed under: uncultured bacterium
Lineage: Bacteria
Description: partial 16S ribosomal RNA
Rfam family: Bacterial small subunit ribosomal RNA
Source: RNAcentral